Molecule: transfer RNA, 82 nt
Filed under: Sodiomyces alkalinus F11
Lineage: Eukaryota; Fungi; Ascomycota; Sordariomycetes; Glomerellales; Plectosphaerellaceae
Rfam family: tRNA
About the family: Transfer RNA (tRNA) molecules are approximately 80 nucleotides in length. Their secondary structure includes four short double-helical elements and three loops (D, anti-codon, and T loops).
Source: Rfam by way of RNAcentral
GGACCCAUGGCGCAACGGUAGCGCGUCAGAUUCCAGUAUAGGGAACUCCUGAAGGUUAUCCGUUCGAAUCGGGUUGGGUUCA